GACGUAGGUGGCGAACGUUAUCCGGAAUCAUUGGGCGUAAAGGGUGCGUAGAUGGCAUGAUAAGCUAUUAGUGGGAAAUCGAGGCUCAACCUCGUGGAAGCUGGUAAUACUGUUUUGCUUGAGUGCAGGAGAGGUUAACGGAACUCCAUGUGGAGCGGUAAAAUGCGUAGAUAUAUGGAAGAACAUCAAUAACGGCGAAGGCAGUUAACUAUUCUGCUACUGACAUUGAGGCACGAAAGCGUGGGGAGCAAAACGG
RNAcentral lists this ribosomal RNA (256 nucleotides) under uncultured bacterium. RNAcentral describes it as "partial 16S ribosomal RNA". It matches the Rfam family "Bacterial small subunit ribosomal RNA", at positions 524 to 776 of the family's 1533-position model. The record is from RNAcentral.